GAUGAACGCUGGCGGCGUGCCUAAUACAUGCAAGUCGAGCGAACAGACAAGAAGCUUGCUUCUUUGAGGUUAGCGGCGGACGGGUGAGUAACACGUGGAUAACCUACCUAUAAGACUUGGAUAACUUCGGGAAACUGGAGCUAAUACCGGAUAAUAUAUUGAACCGCAUGGUUCAAAAGUGAAAGACGGCCUUGCUGUCACUUAUAGAUGGAUCCGCGCUGCAUUAGCUAGUUGGUAAGGUAACGGCUUACCAAGGCAACGAUCCAUAGCCGACCUGAGAGGGUGAUCGGCCACACUGGAACUGAGACACGGUCCAGACUCCGACGGGAGACAGCAGUAGGGAAUCUUCCGCAAUGGGCGAAAACCUGACGGAGCAACGCCGCGUGAGUGAUGAAGGUCUUCGGAUCGUAAAACUCUGUUAUUAGGGAAGAACAUAUGUGUAAGUAACUGUGCACAUCUUGACGGUACCUGAUCAGAAAGCCACGGCUAACUACGUG
This 497-nucleotide ribosomal RNA is filed under the name uncultured bacterium. RNAcentral's name for it is "partial 16S ribosomal RNA". It matches the Rfam family "Bacterial small subunit ribosomal RNA", at positions 28 to 507 of the family's 1533-position model. The record is from RNAcentral.